CCUACGGGAGGCUGCAGUGGGGAAUAUUGGACAAUGGGGGCAACCCUGAUCCAGCCAUGCCGCGUGUGUGAAGAAGGCCCUCGGGUUGUAAAGCACUUUCAGUGAGGAAGAACGCCUGGUGGUUAAUACCCAUCAGGAAAGACAUCACUCACAGAAGAAGCACCGGCUAACUCCGUGCCAGCAGCCGCGGUAAUACGGAGGGUGCGAGCGUUAAUCGGAAUUACUGGGCGUAAAGCGCGCGUAGGUGGCUUGAUAAGCCGGUUGAGAAAGCCCCGGGCUCAACCUGGGAACGGCAUCCGGAACUGUCAAGCUAGAGUGCAGGAGAGGAAGGUAGAAUUCCCGGUGUAGCGGUGAAAUGCGUAGAGAUCGGGAGGAAUACCAGUGGCGAAGGCGGCCUUCUGGACUGACACUGACACUGAGGUGCGAAAGCGUGGGUAGCAAACAGGAUUAGAUACCCGAGUAGUC
RNAcentral lists this ribosomal RNA (465 nucleotides) under Vreelandella stevensii. RNAcentral's name for it is "partial 16S ribosomal RNA". It matches the Rfam family "Bacterial small subunit ribosomal RNA", at positions 338 to 795 of the family's 1533-position model. The record is from RNAcentral. Lineage: Bacteria; Pseudomonadati; Pseudomonadota; Gammaproteobacteria; Oceanospirillales; Halomonadaceae.